Molecule: ribosomal RNA, 301 nt
Filed under: uncultured bacterium
Lineage: Bacteria
Description: partial 16S ribosomal RNA
Rfam family: Bacterial small subunit ribosomal RNA
Source: RNAcentral
CAGCAGCCGCGGGAAUACGAGGGGAGCUAGCGUUGUUCGGAAUUACUGGGCGUAAAGCGCGCGUAGGCGGCUUUUUAAGUCAGAGGUGAAAGCCCGGGGCUCAACCCCGGAAUUGCCUUUGAAACUGGAAAGCUAGAAUCUUGGAGAGGUCAGUGGAAUUCCGAGUGUAGAGGUGAAAUUCGUAGAUAUUCGGAAGAACACCAGUGGCGAAGGCGACUGACUGGACAAGUAUUGACGCUGAGGUGCGAAAGCGUGGGGAGCAAACAGGAUUAGAUACCCGUGUAGUCCCUGUCUCUUAUAC